This 891-nucleotide long non-coding RNA is filed under the name Monodelphis domestica (gray short-tailed opossum). Its description in RNAcentral is "lncRNA (ENSMODG00000033196.2)". Lineage: Eukaryota; Metazoa; Chordata; Mammalia; Didelphimorphia; Didelphidae. The record is from RNAcentral.
UGGCUGUGUGACAUUCAGAAACGUUCUGAGAGAGCCUCAGUUUCCUUCUUGGUAAAAUGAGAAGGUUUCUAGCAUUUCUGUAUAGCUGACCAGGGCCUUGGACUUCACCAGCUGACAAGGACCUUAGAGUUCAUCACCCCUUUUGAAUAAAAAGACUGAAAAACGUGGAAGUGACUUGCCUAAGGUCACACUGAUAGUAACUGGCAGAGUUGGAAUUCACACUCAGCUCUUCUGAUUCCAAAUUCGGUGUUCUUUCCAUUAUGAGAGUAUUCUGUUUGUGUAGAUGAGCUUGAAACUUCUCUUCUAGCUCUAAGAUUUUAUCUGGGAUGCUCUUUUCCAGGGUGGAGGAAGGGGGCGCUGUCUAAAACAACAACAACAACAAAAUGAAUACAUUUUGGCAAAGGGCCAGGUUAUGGCUUGGGGAGGAGGGAAGGAAAUGGAAGCGGAAGCAAAGGACUCUACCUCCUCCAAAGACAGAGCCCCUGGACCUUUGAAAAGGGACCCCUGGACUGCAGAAAUCUCCUUCCUGACUUCACCUGGCAGCAGUCCUGGGGCUCAGGGCCUCACCUCCCCGGGACUUGCUCCCUUUCCAAAGAGCUCAUUCUGAGGAGUUCUUCCUCAGAACUGAAGAACAAGGAAAAGAACAACUUUGUCUUGCUUCAGCAUUCUUCCUCAAGUCCAAGAUGGAAUAAACCUAGAAAUGUGGGCUUACUAUCCAAUAAUAAUGAUUGGCACAUACAUAACACUCUGACCCAGUGCAGAAGUGCUGAUCAUCAGAAAAAAUAGCCACAGAUCAAGUAAUGGGAGCAAGAAGAAAAGCUGGGGGUCUGGGUAAUCCACAAAUUGGAUAACUACCCACUGAAGAAUAAAAAAGCUUAGGUAUUGACUACA